CAAUAGAGUCGAAUCACAGUCCAAACAAGGCAGUUAAGGGGCAUCUAUACAAAUUCAAUUUUGCAAGAUGAUGUUGUUGAUUGUUGAACACAGAGACAGUACAAAUUGAUACAGAUAGAAAGCCAAGUCAUUCUCAUCUCAUCUCAUCUAUGUAUCUGUCCUGCAAAUGGGGCUUUUUGGCCUGGUUUGCACUUGCACUUUACAGCAUGCCAUAGAGUAGUAAUAUAGGUUCAAGUGCAGCAGAGCUUUCAGUGGAGCCGUGGGAAGACUCGGGAGCACGCAACUACAAAGAACUGAGAAAAAAUUUGAAGCCGAAAGGAUACGGAUACAACAAAAGUGAAGCAGGCAGGCAGGGGAUAAUUGGGGCCCAAAAUUCCUGUCUCAAGAAAUGGUCCUACAUUUUGCUUUCCCACUACAGCCAUCCAUUGAUCGAUGGAUGGAUCUGUCCUUAGUCAGCAGUCGCGUCCGUCACCCUUGUUUGACUCCGAGGCCACAACUUCUUCUCCCCCUCUGAGUCACUCUGUCUCCACAGUUGCCUGUCUCUAUCUGCAGUCUGUAACGAGCUCAGAUCCCCAUGAAUGAAUGAAUGAUGAUGAUGAUAAUCCAGUCUCGGCCAUCUCCGUGUUUUCCGUGCCUCUCUGAUUUUAAUCUGAUGCCUAUCUUAGCACCCGUACU
Molecule: long non-coding RNA, 675 nt
Filed under: Coffea arabica (coffee)
Lineage: Eukaryota; Viridiplantae; Streptophyta; Magnoliopsida; Gentianales; Rubiaceae
Description: long non-coding RNA (CARA_LNC005247)
Source: RNAcentral